Molecule: ribosomal RNA, 563 nt
Filed under: uncultured bacterium
Lineage: Bacteria
Description: bacterial SSU rRNA
Rfam family: Bacterial small subunit ribosomal RNA
Source: RNAcentral
CCUACGGGAGGCAGCAGUGGGGAAUCUUGCGCAAUGGGCGAAAGCCUGACGCAGCAACGCCGCGUGCGGGAAGAAGGCUUUCGGGCUGUAAACCGCUUUCAGCAGGAACGAAAAUGACGGUACCUGCAGAAGAAGGAGCGGCCAACUAUGUGCCAGCAGCCGCGGUGAUACAUAGGCUUCAAGCGUUGUCCGGAUUUAUUGGGCGUAAAGAGUUCGUAGGCGGUCGAGUAAGUCGGGUGUGAAAAUUCUGGGCUCAACCCAGAGACGCCACCCGAUACUGCUUAACUUGAGUUCGAUAGGGGAGUGGGGAAUUCCUAGUGUAGCGGUGAAAUGCGCAGAUAUUAGGAGGAACACCGGUGGCGAAGGCGCCACUCUGGAUCGAUACUGACGCUGAGGAACGAAAGCAUGGGUAGCAAGCAGGAUUAGAUACCCUGGUAGUCCAUGCCGUAAACGGUGGGCACUAGGUGUGGGAUUCUAUUAACGAAUUCCGCGCCGUCGCUAACGCAUUAAGUGCCCCGCCUGGGGAGUACGGUCGCAAGACUAAAACUCAAAUGAAUUGACGG